ACUGGGCAGGUUCCAAGCUCCUCGGGGCUUUGCACCUGCCUGAAAUCCUGGGGGAAGUUCCCAGCCCCUCCGCCCUCCUGGCAGCCCCCCUGGGGUGGGAGUGAACGGAGAUUAGCCCAGCGCCGAAGCCUAUCUGCAUUUGUGGACAGGGCAAUGUGGCGUUGAGACUUGAACCUGGGGAUGCUUGUCUAUCCGAAGUCCAACUCCGAAUAUGGCUUGGAUUUGUUCCAAGAGGGUGAAAGUCCCGUACGGAUAGAUUUAAUUGUCUUUAUAA
This 274-nucleotide ribosomal RNA is filed under the name Xenentocleidus xenentodoni. RNAcentral describes it as "partial 28S ribosomal RNA". Lineage: Eukaryota; Metazoa; Platyhelminthes; Monogenea; Dactylogyridea; Dactylogyridae. The record is from RNAcentral.